GGCGGCUGUAGCGCGGUGGUCCCACCUGACCCCAUGCCGAACUCAGAAGUGAAACGCCGUAGCGCCGAUGGUAGUGUGGGGUCUCCCCAUGCGAGAGUAGGGAACUGCCAGAC
RNAcentral lists this ribosomal RNA (113 nucleotides) under Citrobacter freundii. The record is from RNAcentral. Lineage: Bacteria; Pseudomonadati; Pseudomonadota; Gammaproteobacteria; Enterobacterales; Enterobacteriaceae. RNAcentral also lists the same sequence under 10 other names.